UAACGAACGAGAUCGAGACCCGUGGUUGCGUUGWGUGAUGCGUCAACGUAAAMUACAGGGAUCGCGUAAUAUACCCAACGGUACGAUUGAAAGACUCGGCAAUAACAGGUCUGUGAUGCCCUCAGAUGUUCUAGGCUGCACACGUGCUACAUUGUGAUUCCGUAGUGUGUGUGUAUGCAUAGAAUAUCUCGCACCGAGUCAUAACUGGUCACGCGGUUGGACUCACCGAUUGUCAAUUAUUCGGUAUACUAACUAGGAAUGCCUCGUACUGAGAGGUUCAACGAGACCCACUGGAAUCCGUCCCUGCCCUUUGUACACACCGCCCGUCGCUCUUACCGAUGGGUGUGGUUGUUAGCAUAGUUGAGUCUCCCACGAGCGAACCAAUAUAUUUAUGACGAGGUGAAUCUAC
Molecule: ribosomal RNA, 409 nt
Filed under: Amphistegina lobifera
Lineage: Eukaryota; Foraminifera; Rotaliida; Amphisteginidae
Description: partial small subunit ribosomal RNA
Source: RNAcentral